This 310-nucleotide ribosomal RNA is filed under the name uncultured bacterium. RNAcentral's name for it is "bacterial SSU rRNA". It matches the Rfam family "Bacterial small subunit ribosomal RNA", at positions 32 to 335 of the family's 1533-position model. The record is from RNAcentral.
AAUCAACGCUGGCGGCGUGCCUCAGACAUGCAAGUCGAACGAUUAAACUUUCCUUCGGGAAAGAUAUAAAGUGGCGCACGGGUGAGUAACACGUAGGUAAUGUACCUUUGGGUGGGGAAUAACCAUCGGAAACGAUGGCUAAUACCGCAUAAUGCAGCGGCAUCGCAAGAUGACAGUUGUUAAAGAUUUAUCGCCUAAAGAGCAGCCUGCGGCAGAUUAGGUAGNGGUAAGGUAAUGGCUUACCAAGCCUGCGAUCUGUAACCGACCUGAGAGGGUGGUCGGUCACACUGACACUGAGUAACGGGUCAGA